Molecule: transfer RNA, 61 nt
Filed under: Asymmetricata circumdata
Lineage: Eukaryota; Metazoa; Arthropoda; Insecta; Coleoptera; Lampyridae
Description: tRNA-Leu
Source: RNAcentral
GUUACUUUGGCAGAUUAGUGCAAUAGAUUUAGAAUCUUUAAAUGUAUUUAUACAAGUAAUA